GAUGAACGCUGGCGGCGUGCUUCAAAAAUACAAGUCGAACGGAAAAGCCCUGCAUUAGUGAUGUACAAGAAAAAAAAACGAAUGAGUAACACGUACGUAACCUGAACUUGACUUUGGGAUAACUUCACGAAACUGGGGCUAAUACCGGAUAGGAGCUCCUGCUGCAUGGUGGGGGUUGGAAAGUUUCGGCGGUUGGGGAUGGACUCGCGGCUUAUCAGCUUGUUGGUGGGGUAGUGGCUUACCAAGGCUUUGACGGGUAGCCGGCCUGAGAGGGUGACCGGCCACAUUGGGACUGAGAUACGGCCCAGACUCCUACGGGAGGCAGCAGUGGGGAAUAUUGCACAAUGGGCGGAAGCCUGAUGCAGCAACGCCGCGUGCGGGAUGACGGCCUUCGGGUUGUUAACCGCUUUCGCCUGUGACGAAGCGUGAGUGACGGUAAUGGGUAAAGAAGCACCGGCUAACUACGUG
RNAcentral lists this ribosomal RNA (468 nucleotides) under uncultured bacterium. Its description in RNAcentral is "partial 16S ribosomal RNA". It matches the Rfam family "Bacterial small subunit ribosomal RNA", at positions 28 to 507 of the family's 1533-position model. The record is from RNAcentral.